RNAcentral lists this ribosomal RNA (253 nucleotides) under uncultured bacterium. Its description in RNAcentral is "partial 16S ribosomal RNA". It matches the Rfam family "Bacterial small subunit ribosomal RNA", at positions 524 to 776 of the family's 1533-position model. The record is from RNAcentral.
UACGUAGGUGGCAAGCGUUGUCCGGAUUUACUGGGCGUAAAGAGCGCGCAGGCGGUCGUACAAGUCGCGUGUGAAAGCCCCCGGCUCAACUGGGGAGGGUCACGCGAUACUGUUCGACUCGAAGGCAGGAGAGGGAAGCGGAAUUCCCGGUGUAGUGGUGAAAUGCGUAGAUAUCUGGAGGAACACCGGUGGCGAAGGCGGCAUUCUGGACCAUAACUGACACUGAGAGACGAAAGCCAGGGGAGCAAACGGG